AUGCGGAAGGCCUUGUACACUUGUAGCGGGUUGGCAGUGAAACAAGUCAUUGCUUACCUCGGUGCGGACAUGGAAGGCCUUGGUGCCAUGUUUGGGUGUCAUGCACAGCUCCUCCCAACACACGUCCGCACAGAGUCCCACCAGCAGCAGGCACAGGCUCCAUGGCGUCUCCUCCUCCAAGCGCCUCCCUUCUGCCAAGCUCCACCAGGAGAUCCUCCGCCUGGUCUACGGCACACCGUCAAGCACCCAUGCCGAUGGCACCUCAUCCCCUCCGGCUUUUCCACUCCCCUCCUAAUGCAAAUGGAAUUUGUCUGUAGUAGGUAG
Molecule: ribosomal RNA, 324 nt
Filed under: Triticum aestivum (bread wheat)
Lineage: Eukaryota; Viridiplantae; Streptophyta; Magnoliopsida; Poales; Poaceae
Description: partial small subunit ribosomal RNA
Source: RNAcentral